AUAAUACUCCCUCCGUCCCAAAUUUUUUGUCUUAGAUUUGUCUAGAUACGGAUGUACCUAAUACUAAAAAAGACUUGAUACAUCCGUAUUUAGACAAAUCUAAGACAAAAGAAUUUUGGGACGGAGGGAGUAUAAA
Non-coding RNA from Triticum aestivum (bread wheat), 136 nucleotides. The record is from Rfam. NCBI's taxonomy places the organism in Eukaryota, Viridiplantae, Streptophyta, Magnoliopsida, Poales, Poaceae.